RNAcentral lists this ribosomal RNA (497 nucleotides) under uncultured bacterium. RNAcentral describes it as "partial 16S ribosomal RNA". It matches the Rfam family "Bacterial small subunit ribosomal RNA", at positions 28 to 507 of the family's 1533-position model. The record is from RNAcentral.
GAUGAACGCUGGCGGCGUGCCUAAUACAUGCAAGUCGAGCGAACGGACGAGAAGCUUGCUUCUCUGAUGUUAGCGGCGGACGGGUGAGUAACACGUGGAUAACCUACCUAUAAGACUGGGAUAACUUCGGGAAACCGGAUCUAAUACCGGAUAAUAUUUUGAACCGCAUGGUUCAAAAGUGAAAGACGGUCUUUCUGUCUCUUAUAGAUGGAUCCGCGUUGCAUUAGCUAGUUGGUAAGGUAACGGCUUACCAAGGCAACGAUGCAUAGCCGACCUGAGAGAGGGAUAGGCCACACUGGAACUGGGCCACGGUCCAGACUCCUACGGGAGGCAGCAGUAGGGAAUCUUACGCAAUGGGCGAAAGCCUGACGGAGCAACGCCGCGCGAGAGAUGACGGUGUUGGGAUCGUAAAAAUCUGUUAUUAGUGAAGAACAUAUGUGUAAGUAAAUGUGCACAUAUUGACGGUACCUGAACAGAAAGCCACGGCUAACUACGUG